GGGGCAACCCUGGUGGCGAGUGGCGAACGGGUGAGUAAUGUAUCGGAACGUGCCCAGUCGUGGGGGAUAACGUAGUGAAAAUUACGCUAAUACCGCAUACGAUCUAUGGAUGAAAGCGGGGGACCGUAAGGCCUCGCGCGAUUGGAGCGGCCGAUAUCAGAUUAGGUAGUUGGUGAGGUAAAGGCUCACCAAGCCGACGAUCUGUAGCUGGUCUGAGAGGACGACCAGCCACACUGGGACUGAGACACGGCCCAGACUCCUACGGGAGGCAGCAGUGGGGAAUUUUGGACAAUGGGCGCAAGCCUGAUCCAGCCAUUCCGCGUGCAGGACGAAGGCCUUCGGGUUGUAAACUGCUUUUGUACAGAACGAAACAGUCUCUACUAAUACUAGGGGCGAAUGACGGUACUGUAAGAAUAAGCACCGGCUAAC
RNAcentral lists this ribosomal RNA (429 nucleotides) under uncultured bacterium. RNAcentral's name for it is "bacterial SSU rRNA". It matches the Rfam family "Bacterial small subunit ribosomal RNA", at positions 76 to 501 of the family's 1533-position model. The record is from RNAcentral.